This is a non-coding RNA of Pelobates cultripes (western spadefoot toad), 547 nucleotides long. NCBI's taxonomy places the organism in Eukaryota, Metazoa, Chordata, Amphibia, Anura, Pelobatidae. The record is from the annotation of a GenBank genome assembly.
CCAGAGGCAUGGCCCAUCUUCUCAGAGACAAACAGUUUAAACGGCAACUCAUAGUUAGGGAGGCCCAAAGCAGGGGCAGAAGAGAUUGCCCUUUGUGUAGCAACUGCAGGCUGUUGAGGACAAUGUGAAGGGUUCAGUCUUCAAGCCGUCGUAGAGGGGUUGCAUGAGUUGAGAGGCCUCAGGGAUCCAAGAUCUGCAGUACGUGAUGAGACCCAGGAAGGUGUGGAGGGCCUGGUGAGUAGAUGGAAGGGGAAGAUUGGUGAUAGCACAAACUCUGUCUCUUGUCAGGUGACGGGUGCCAUGGGAAAAGACAAUGUCCCAAGAAGACCACUGUGGGCCGGCACCAUUGGAGUUUAGCUUUGGAGGCUUUGCAACCCUCUUCUGCAAGGAACCCGAGAAGAUCCACUGAAUGGUGUUCAGUUGUUGGAAAGUCAUCUGCACAGAGCAGUAAAUCAUCAACAUACUGGAGCAGGACCACAUCUGGGUGAGAUUUCUGCCAGGGUUCUAGUACAGUAGACAUUGCCUUGGCAAAUUGUGUUGGAGAAUU